AUGACAACUAACUACUCCCCCACUAAAUCCCAUUCCCUAUUUCAUGAUGCUCCUCAUGGUUCCUCCUUCCCAGGCACCACGGCCAAGCCAUCAGCCAUGGCCUCCGGCCGUCGUCCGACCACCGCCCUAGUCCUGACGUCGUUGCUAUGCCUCUACCACGCGCCAAGCUGUGUCCUUUCGCUCUCCUUCACCCUCGACUUCUCCGACCCCACCGCCGGCUCGUCGAUUGUCGUCUCCAGCGACGCACUCGUGAGUCCACCGGCGCUCCAGCUGACGAAAAACAGCUGGGCAUCGUACCGGUACAAGGUGCCGCUAUGGAACGGCGCCACCGGCGAGAUGGCUAGCUUCGCCACCGCCUUCUCCUUCCGGAUCGCCCCAGACAAGGACAGCCUGCCGCAGCAGCCAGGCAAUAGGAUGACCUUCUUCCUCGGCCAUCUCCCUUCCGUGGACUUCCCGCGCAGCAGCAGCAGCGCCGGCGGCGGCCCGGCCGUCGUGACGGUAGAGUUUGACGCUUUCCCCAACCAUGUCGGCAUCGACAUCAGCUCCGCCAACUCCACGGCGUCCGCGCACACGACGGCGACAUGGCCGGGCAAGAACCUCACGACGUCCAGUGUCAUGGAGGCCACCGUGAAAUACCACAACGACUCCAGGAUGCUGGCUGUUGCUCUCCUCAUCGACGGUGCCCUGUACCAGGUCAGUGCCACCGUUGAUCUGCGCCGAAAUCUGCCGGAGGAGGUGGCGAUCGGCUUCUCCGCCGGGAUGCACCGGAUACUGUUGUGGUCGUUCGGUUCCACCCUGCCGGAGUCCAAGCAGGAGGCAUCUCCUCAGCUUGCUGAACCUCCUCUCCCAGCCAGCAGCUACGACCACAAGAAGAUAGCAUUGGUCCUACUAUUCCUAGGAACGAUCACGACAAGGUGUGUCCGAAUUGGAUUUCAGUUUCGAUUCAAGACAUCAUCGAGUCGUGCUACCUUAGCUGUCCUAGCCUAG
This 987-nucleotide ribosomal RNA is filed under the name Triticum aestivum (bread wheat). RNAcentral's name for it is "partial small subunit ribosomal RNA". Lineage: Eukaryota; Viridiplantae; Streptophyta; Magnoliopsida; Poales; Poaceae. The record is from RNAcentral.